UUUAAGUUAUAGGCCAUGGAUGUCCGGCUCAAAUAGCAUAUUGCUCUAUUCAGAAAGCUUUUUAUUCUGAUAUAGUUAAAAUUUUGCAUUGCAGAGGGUCCAAAUUUGCUUCGUAUCUCCUUAAAGGGCAUAAUCUUAGCCUUUUUAAAUAAAUCUGAGAUCUUUUUAAUACCCCGUCUUGUGCAUUCCCGUAUAUCUAGGUCAUCAAUCCAUCUAUCUAAAUAAGUAAAUGGUAAUGCUGGUCAGAU
Molecule: non-coding RNA, 248 nt
Organism: Pelobates cultripes (western spadefoot toad)
Lineage: Eukaryota; Metazoa; Chordata; Amphibia; Anura; Pelobatidae
Source: the annotation of a GenBank genome assembly